CAGCCGCCGCGGUAAUACGAAGGGGGCGAGCGUUGCUCGGAAUGACUGGGCGUAAAGGGCGCGUAGGUGGUACGGACAGUCAGAUGUGAAAUUCCCGGGCUCAACCUGGGGGCUGCAUUUGAUACGUCCGAACUAGAGUGUGGAAGAGGGUCGUGGAAUUCCCAGUGUAGAGGUGAAAUUCGUAGAUAUUGGGAAGAACACCGGUGGCGAAGGCGGCGACCUGGUCCAUUACUGACGCUGAGGCGCGAAAGCGUGGGGAGCAAACAGGAUUAGAUACCCCCGUAGUCCCUGUCUCUUAUAC
This 301-nucleotide ribosomal RNA is filed under the name uncultured bacterium. RNAcentral's name for it is "partial 16S ribosomal RNA". It matches the Rfam family "Bacterial small subunit ribosomal RNA", at positions 509 to 807 of the family's 1533-position model. The record is from RNAcentral.